GUCCUACGGGAGGCUGCAGUUGGGAAUCUUGCGCAAUGGGGGAAACCCUGACGCAGCGACGCCGCGUGCGGGAUGACGAUCUUCGGAUUGUAAACCGCUUUUCUUGGGGACGAUAAUGACGGUACCUGAGGAAGAAGCCCCGGCUAACUCCGUGCCAGCAGCCGCGGUAAGACGGGGGGGGCAAGCGUUAUCCGGAAUUACUGGGCGUAAAGCGCACGUAGGCGGCUUUGUACGGCGGUGGUGAAAGCUCCCGGCUUAAAUGGGAGAGGUCCGCCGGACCGGGAGAGGUCGAGGGGGGUAGAGGUUGAUGGAAUUCCUGGUGUAGCGGUGAAAUGCGUAGAGAUCAGGAGGAACACCCGUGGCGAAGGCGGUCAACUGGGCCACGCCUGACGCUGAGGUGCGAAAGCCAGGGGAGCGAACGGGAUUAGAUACCCCGGUAGUC
RNAcentral lists this ribosomal RNA (442 nucleotides) under uncultured bacterium. Its description in RNAcentral is "bacterial SSU rRNA". It matches the Rfam family "Bacterial small subunit ribosomal RNA", at positions 335 to 795 of the family's 1533-position model. The record is from RNAcentral.